This 89-nucleotide ribosomal RNA is filed under the name uncultured bacterium. Its description in RNAcentral is "partial 16S ribosomal RNA". The record is from RNAcentral.
CCACACCACGAAAGCUGUCUGUACCCGAAAUCAUCUUAGCUAACUCGCAAGAGAGGCGGAUGCUGAAGGUAUGGAGAGUGAUUGGGGUG